Molecule: ribosomal RNA, 525 nt
Filed under: bacterium enrichment culture clone 16(2012b)
Lineage: Bacteria
Description: bacterial SSU rRNA
Rfam family: Bacterial small subunit ribosomal RNA
Source: RNAcentral
GAGUUUGAUCCUGGUUCAGAACAAACGCUGGCGGCGUGUCUUAAGCAUGCAAGUCGAGCGGCAAGGGCAGCAAUGCCCCUAGAGCGGCGGACUGGUGAGUAACGCGUGGGUGAUCUACCUUGGGCAUGGGGAUAGCCAUUAGAAAUAGUGGGUAAUACCGAAUACGUUCGUCACCGUGAGGGUGACGAGGAAAGGCGCUACGGCGCCGGCCUGGAGAUGAGCUUGCGUCCGAUUAGCUAGUUGGUGAGGUAAAGGCCCACCAAGGCGAUGAUCGGUAGCCGGCCUGAGAGGGUGUACGGCCACACUGGGACUGAGAUACGGCCCAGACUCCUACGGGAGGCAGCAGCUAAGAAUAUUCCGCAAUGGACGAAAGUCUGACGGAGCGACGCCGCGUGGAUGAUGAAGGCCGAAAGGUUGUAAAGUCCUUUUGCUGGGGAAGAAUAAGCGUGGGAGGGAAUGCCCGCGUGAUGACAUGAACCGGCGAAUAAGCCCCGGCUAACUACGUGCCAGCAGCCGCGGUAACAC